Molecule: long non-coding RNA, 206 nt
Filed under: Capsella grandiflora
Lineage: Eukaryota; Viridiplantae; Streptophyta; Magnoliopsida; Brassicales; Brassicaceae
Description: long non-coding RNA (CGRA_LNC000539)
Source: RNAcentral
UUUCUAGGGUUAGGGAGUUAGAUUUGUAAAUUAUGAAUUGAUUUCGGGAUUUAGCUUCUUCAGUUUGUUAAAAAACGUUGUUUUGUUGUUUGAAACGGAAGCAACUCACGGAUAGUUAACUCCGUCUUUGCAAUUUUAAGAGAAACUAAAUGUCGUGUUUAAAUCGGCUAAGUCAACAAAACUUAACUAUUUUACGGAAAAGUCAA